CUCAGAUGAGCUGCUGUUCAGAUCUGCGAACAUAAAGAACUUUAGCCGACGAAAUUUAUUUUCGUCGGUUAAAGAAUGUUUAAAGUCGUCGGCUAAAGUCACAGACUUUAGCCGACGAAAUAAAUUCUUUAGCCGACGAAAAUAUAAAUUAACCGACGAUGGAAAAUUUCGUCGGCUAAAGUCUGCUUUAGCCGACGAAAAAUUGAUUCGUCGGCCUGGUUUUUUUUUUUUCGUCAGCUAAAGUCUUUCUUCUGGUAGUGUUACUAUAUAUGUAUACAACAAGUAAGUGUAGCGAGAGUGUCCACUUACGCUAUAUCGCCUAGAGGAAGUGCCACACCUCAAAGCAUGUUAGACACUCCUCAGUCCAUACAGCCCCUCCGGAGGUUUAGGGAAUCGAAGCCCAAGGAAGUCACUAUGCCCCUCUCAUAAAACCGGUUACCAUUUUUAUGAUGACCAAUAUGCAUUUAACAUUUUUAUAAAACAAUAAGAUCACUAAUCAAGAGAGUUUCGGGUCCCCUACCUGGAAUCCGAGGCUUUCCUUACAAACUUCGAGACUCACGAGCAUUCUGCUCCUCGGGUAACUAGAGUCCUGAAUUCCGACAUAUUUAUCGUUAAUAACUUUCCCUUUGACUUAACAAAAUAAUCAAUACUUAAUUGUUUGACCACCAAGACUUGACCAACCAUGAUCCUACUUUAUAUUAGGUUUGCCCAAAACUACUAAGGGCACCCAAUCCUUGUUCAUCUAAAUUGAUCCAACAAUUUAAGAUUCACAAUUAUAUUUCCAGACUUUGCUUUCACGUUUACAAACUUCAUUUUCCAAUUCUUCUCUCAUCACAGUAGCUAAUGUCUCAAAAGACUUGCUUUAUGUUCGAUCAACAUGACCAUUCAUAGAUACAACCAUAAUUCAUUUCACUUUUGGUGUGCCUAACUUACUAAGGACACCCCAACACUAAUUUUCUUAUUUUGUCCCAUGAUUCAUUCCCUAUCUCAAUCCCAAAUAUAUCACAGUAUGAUAAACUUAGCUAGUCCAAUACCACCAAGAGAAUUACUCUUCUGUUGGUAUUUGACCAACAAUGCUUAUAUCAUAUAUCAUGAUCCUUCUAUCAUCAAUUUCUUAUACAACUCCAGAACAUUCUGAAUCAAGUCAAGUCAUGUUAAUCAUCUCUCAUAUAAAUAACAAGAUAGCAAUACUUAUAUUUAGCAAUUACCUUCUUAGUAUUUGUCUAACAACGAAGCAUAAUCUUCCUCAAUUGCACUUAUGCAACGAACAGAGGUAUGGUCAUCCACUUUGGCAUCACCUCACUCGCCAAUUCAAAGUUCACAAUUGAACCAGCUUCACAGCUUCUGCACUUCGAGAACAAUUGAAUAUUAAUAUAUAUGGUCUCUUAUUCAAAUCAGGAACGCAAACUAACCCAAGUGAGGCCAAGAUCACCACCAUGAACAGCGGCAGAGCUUUGGCAAAACGUACCGAGUUCUCCCCUUCCAUAGAAUCAAGCUUUUCCAAUGAUCAUUCUACGUUGUAGGAUGACAGAACUCAGAAGCAUAGAGCACUCGUCACCAUCCGUAGCUCCGUCGAAUCCGAAAGCACCAAAAUUCGAAAUUACAAAUCAUCAAAACCAAUAGAAUCCAACUAUACCAGCGUGAAUAUUAGAACGAAGGGGAAAUGAGGUCCUCACCUCAAGCGUUGCCGAAGAACCUAGAAGCACUCAAGCAGCUCCGAAAACAGCCGAAUAGAUGCUACAAAAUUCGCACAUGCAGCUCAAACCGCCACCAGAGUCGCCGAAAACGGUCAAN
Molecule: long non-coding RNA, 1794 nt
Filed under: Fragaria vesca (wild strawberry)
Lineage: Eukaryota; Viridiplantae; Streptophyta; Magnoliopsida; Rosales; Rosaceae
Description: long non-coding RNA (FVES_LNC000388)
Source: RNAcentral